UUCCCUAGUCACUACCUCACUCAAGCCCGCCUCAGCUCCUACAAACCCCACCCCAGUCUCUAUAAAGGACACUCCCUGCCCCAGUCAUAUUGCCUUUGUCUCUCCUUUGUUCAGAGACACCCCAGCAGAUUGUUCCUACAAUAAAGGCUUGUUGUGGCCUGGUCUGGUCUUGGUUUUUGGCCUUUUUACCUGACAUAUCUGAUGCCGUGACUCGGAUGGUAGACAGUCCAUUGAGAGACGAUACCCCAUGGGACGGGGUUGAUUGGCCUUUUGGCCAUCUCCACCGGACCAUAUCUGCCAAGCCAGGACCCUCUUGGGGCUUUCUGCCUUUGCCAUUGCUGAUGCUACUCAUCCACACCGGUCACCAGUCUCUGGGAACGAAUGAGGACACCAACACUCAUUCCAACCAACCCUCAUUCACCAACCAGACAGUCACGGAGCUCAUCAUGGCAGGGUACCAGCCAGUACGACAAAAGGAAGAGGUCCCCACUUGCCAUGGGCCUCAUCAGAUCCAGGUCUAGCCCCAAUCUUCGCCCCUUGUCAGCAGGAAGCAACUCCAGAAAAAGAGACCUUCGCCCAACUAUCAUAAAACAAAAGCCUGGAAUGAUAGGUCUCCCAUUACCUCAGCAGCUAUUAUGUAUAGUAGCUGCCCUCUUCCUAUUGUGCCUUGCCUCCUCCCCUGUGUAACAUCACACCAAGAUGGAUGCUCCCACCAAAGAACAAACUUUUCUUCCCAGCAUGCCCGUUCCUGCCUAGAGAGUAACAUAAUACUCGAUCACCACCUACCAACUAGUGAUGUCCGAGGCUCCUCCAUUUCCUAGUCACUACUUCACUCAACCCUGCCUCAGCUCCUACAAACCCCACACCAGUCUCUAUAAAAGACACUCCCUGCCUCAGCCAUAUUGCCUUGUCUCUCCUUUGUUCAGAGAAACCCUGGCAGAUCUGUUCGCCUAACAAAGGCUUGUUGUGGCCUGGUCUGGUCUUGGUUUUCGGCCUUUUUACCUGACAAUGAAUAGCCCUGUAUCUAUUAAAUUUAAUUUGUAGUGAAAAAUCUCAUAAAGAAAACUUCAGGCCCAGGUGGCUUCACUGAGAUACAAAUUCUUCCAAAAUAAGAAUGAGGCAGGAAAUUCCCAGUAUGGGGAAAAAAACAAAAAUUAGGCAGGAAGGUAGGGCAUGGCAAACCCGGUUUGGGAAGUAACCCUGACCAGAUUCCAGGAUACACCUCACAAAAUAAAUCUCAGGAGGGGCCAGGGAUUUAGCUCAGUGGUUCUGCAACCUGCCUCACAAGUGCAAGGAUCCGAGUUCGAUUCCCGGGACCAAAAAACAAAAAGAAAUAAAUCUCAGGACCUGAUACAUUUAAAUUCUUGCAGGUUCCCUCAAGCCAUGGAUGAGAUAAAGAAAUAGGAAACUGCUAUGAGCUCAUUAUUGUGCCUCUUCAUGAUAACCCGCCCUUUGUCCCCCAGGGUGUACUUUCAUUUUUGCUUUUAAUUUUUCCUGUUUUGUUUGGCCCAAGUUUCCUCUGCAGAGCCAGUUGCUCCCUUACCCUUACCCUCCACUCUCACUUUUUCAAAUGAAAUUUGGCACUGUUUUUUGCUUGUCUUGUUCAAUUCUUUCUUCAAGACAAGAAGAACCUGGUAACAUUCAAAUGAGAUUUCCACAGUCUGAUAACGGACAUUGCAAAAAACCUAUAGCUAACAUUGUUCUUAAGGAUGAGUGGUUCGAGUCGUGUCACUCCAAUUCAGCAUUUACUAUAGGUACUAACUCAUGCAGUAAGACAAGUGUAAAUGAAACAAACAAAGCAAUGAGAAUGAAAAAGAACAACAUUGUCUCUAUCUAGAUAACAAAAUCUUUUAUGGAGAAAAUCCUAAAUAUGCAAAAGGUACCAGACCUAAUUGAGUUUAAAAAGUCAAUUAUAU
Heterocephalus glaber (naked mole-rat) is the source of this 1916-nucleotide non-coding RNA. NCBI's taxonomy places the organism in Eukaryota, Metazoa, Chordata, Mammalia, Rodentia, Bathyergidae. The record is from RefSeq and is a predicted model, not a curated record.